UACGUAGGGUGCAGGCGUUAAUCGGAAUUACUGGGCGUAAAGCGUGCGCAGGCGGUUUGCUAAGACAGGUGUGAAAUCCCCGGGCUUAACCUGGGAACUGCGCUUGUAACGGGCAAGCUAGAGUGUGGCAGAGGGGGGUGGAAUUCCAGGUGUAGCAGUGAAAUGCGUAGAGAUCUGGAGGAACACCGAUGGCGAAGGCGGCAUCCUGGACCGGCAUUGACGCUGAGGAGCGAAAGCCAGGGGAGCAAACGGG
RNAcentral lists this ribosomal RNA (253 nucleotides) under uncultured bacterium. Its description in RNAcentral is "partial 16S ribosomal RNA". It matches the Rfam family "Bacterial small subunit ribosomal RNA", at positions 524 to 776 of the family's 1533-position model. The record is from RNAcentral.